RNAcentral lists this ribosomal RNA (331 nucleotides) under uncultured bacterium. RNAcentral's name for it is "bacterial SSU rRNA". It matches the Rfam family "Bacterial small subunit ribosomal RNA", at positions 568 to 898 of the family's 1533-position model. The record is from RNAcentral.
CGCGUAGGUGGAUAUGUGUGUUGGAUGUGAAAGCCCCGGGCUUAACCUGGGAACUGCAUACAAAACUGCAUAUCUAGAGUAGAGCAGAGGUGAGUGGAAUUUCCGGAGUAGCGGUGAAAUGCGUAGAUACCGGAAGGAACACCAGUGGCGAAGGCGACUCACUGGGCUCAAACUGACACUGAGGCGCGAAAGCGUGGGGAGCAAACAGGAUUAGAUACCCUGGUAGUCCACGCUGUAAACGAUGAAUACUAGCUGUUGGUGGCGAUAAGUUAUCAGUAGCGCAGCAAACGCGAUAAGUAUUCCGCCUGGGGAGUACGGCCGCAAGGCUAAA